GACGAACGCUGGCGGCGUGCUUAACACAUGCAAGUCGAACGGCAAGGCCCUGCUUUUGUGGGGUGCUCGAGUGGCGAACGGGUGAGUAACACGUGAGUAACCUGCCCUUGACUUUGGGAUAACUUCAGGAAACGGGGGCUAAUACCGGAUAGGAGCUCCUGCUGCAUGGUGGGGGUUGGAAAGUUUCGGCGGUUGGGGAUGGACGCGCGGCUUAUGAGCUUGUUGGUUGGGUAGUGGCCUACCAGGGCUUUGACGGGUAGCCGGCCUGAGCGGGUGACCGGCCACAUGGGGACUGAGGGACGGACCAGACUCCUACGGGAGGCAGCAGUGGGAAACAUUGCACAAUGGGGGGGAGCCUGAUGCGACAACGCCGCGUGCGGAAUGACCGCCUUCGGGUUGUAAACCGCUUUCGCCUGUGACGAAGCGUGAGUGACGGUAAUGGGUAAAGAAGCACCGGCUAACUACGUG
This 468-nucleotide ribosomal RNA is filed under the name uncultured bacterium. Its description in RNAcentral is "partial 16S ribosomal RNA". It matches the Rfam family "Bacterial small subunit ribosomal RNA", at positions 28 to 507 of the family's 1533-position model. The record is from RNAcentral.